CCGGAUACACGUGACCUCCACAGUAGCCAGAAACACGUGAUCUCCACAGUAGCCAGAAACACGCAUGGAUACCGUGGAAGACUUGCAAGUGGAUCGCAAAGAUGCACAUAUCAAUCUGGCAUUCAGGCUUAAAGCCAGAAUUGCAGGAAUGCAACACGUGUUGCAGGGGGACUCUUUCACUGCCCUCUGUGCCCCACUUUCAGCCCUACUGUCAGGGCAAAGAUUGAGGAGCAUCUAAAUGUGCAUAUAAAAAAUCCUUUGCCUUUCAAAGACAAAAUGAUAUGCCGGUGCACUUUCACUGCCCUGUCUGUAACAUGACAGUCAUACAGUGUGGGGAUAUGGCAAGGCAAUUAUUGUCAUGUCAGCGUUCAGGACUGCUCCCCGCUGCACUCUCCGUGGAGCCCCAUCUCCCUCUCGAUGUCUUGUCUCCAGCAUCUAAACCAUUUUCUGAAUCUUCAGUAGAA
Long non-coding RNA from Oreochromis niloticus (Nile tilapia), 464 nucleotides. RefSeq lists it as uncharacterized. The transcript is spliced from 3 exons. Lineage: Eukaryota; Metazoa; Chordata; Actinopteri; Cichliformes; Cichlidae. The record is from RefSeq and is a predicted model, not a curated record.